Molecule: long non-coding RNA, 402 nt
Organism: Neogale vison (American mink)
Lineage: Eukaryota; Metazoa; Chordata; Mammalia; Carnivora; Mustelidae
Exons: 3
Source: RefSeq, a predicted model, not a curated record
GGGUAGUGCCCGCCGACAAUCCAAUGCCUCUGAAAACUGGUGGACACCGAACCUUCAGGUCCCUUGGCAGACCCCGCUGGGGCCAAGCAGGAUACAAAGAAGCUGGUGGAUCCCUGAGGCCCCAGGGGAUGGCAGAACGGAGGAAUGAAAGAACCCAGACCCAAGGACAGACUACAGGCAGCCCAGUCUACCCAGGUAUAACCAUCAGAACACCACGAUCAAAACAAUAAACAACACCCACAGCAGUGUACGGCUUUGGACUUCUCGAAGCACUUGCACGCACAACAUCCCCUCACAACUGUGUCCUGGAGAGAAAUCGGGGGGUUCGUUCCAGUCCUCCAGUCACUGGCAGAGCCCGCAGGAGAGCUCGGCAUCUCUCCCCCUGACCUCUUUCCAAACGGA